UGGGGAAUAUUGGACAAUGGGCGGAAGCCUGAUCCAGCAACGCCGCGUGAGGGAUGACGGCCUUCGGGUUGUAAACCUCUUUCACCAUUGACGAAGCUGCACUUUGUGUGUGGUGACGGUAGGUGGGGAAGAAGCACCGGCCAACUACGUGCCAGCAGCCGCGGUAAUACGUAGGGUGCGAGCGUUGUCCGGAAUUAUUGGGCGUAAAGGGCUCGUAGGCGGUUUGUCGCGUCGGGAGUGAAAACACUGGGCUUAACUCAGUGCUUGCUUUCGAUACGGGCAGACUAGAGGGAUGCAGGGGAGAACGGAAUUCCUGGUGUAGCGGUGAAAUGCGCAGAUAUCAGGAGGAACACCGGUGGCGAAGGCGGUUCUCUGGGCACGUCCUGACGCUGAGGAGCGAAAGUGUGGGGAGCGAA
This 416-nucleotide ribosomal RNA is filed under the name uncultured bacterium. Its description in RNAcentral is "bacterial SSU rRNA". It matches the Rfam family "Bacterial small subunit ribosomal RNA", at positions 355 to 772 of the family's 1533-position model. The record is from RNAcentral.